AUUUUUAGGAGGUCCAGGCUGAUAGCAGCAGUCAAGGCCCAGUGUGCCAGAGUAUGCAUAGCCCCUGUCACCAGCAGGCCGAUGGACUGGGUUUGCUGUACUUGUGAGUCCUCUGGAAGUAUUACAGGACCCUGUGAUGAAGCCUUCCGAUUUUGUAUUUCAAGGUCCCAUCCUGGUAGCCCAGAGGAAUGGCCGAGGAGUUGUGGUAUACCCUGAGAUGACGGUGUCGGCCUCCAAGCAGGCCUGAGGUGUGUGGCCUGAGCAUUCUGAGCAGAAUGACCAAGAGAGAACAGCCUGGGGACAACUGGAACUUCCCAGACAGGCAGGAGGCCUCCCCUGAUGGGGAUUUGCAUCCCCAGAUGUGUGCAAGAUAAGUCGCGGGCUACAACCCACAGAGGGGAUGGAAGAGAGGUGCCAGGUUGGGACUCCCCAGGAAGGGUUUUUGAGUCAGAUUUGGAGAUGGGGUUGUCCAAGAAGCAUCUCCUUAGGCCCUCUAAAGGGAAAGUGUCUGUUUUGAUCUCAGUGCUGAGGUGCGCAGGGCAGAGCAGUUCCGGUGUGUGUCCUGUCACUUGUCUCUGGUGCACUCUGUGUUGUUUGGGUCUUUCGGUCCUUUCUUCUCAUCAGAAGCUCACUCUCCCUCUCCUGUCCCCUCGUUUGUCACGUCCUGUCCUGUGUCACGGGUGUCCUGUCCUGUCUCCCGGAGCUGCACUGCUCUGCUGCAUAGCCUGUAAUAGCACAAGUCCUGUGGACUUGAAAUUUGUAAUGCAGGGUGUAUUUGAGCUCUAGAUUGUAUUAGGAGAUUGAUGUAAGAUGUCUGGUGCUGUUAAGUUGUCCUGCUGCCAUUUGACACUAGUCCUAACUUCCUUUCAGAUGCAGAAAGUUCAAAUCAGUGGCAGAGAGCCCCAGUCCUGGGUGAGGGUGUUGCCAUGAGCAGGAGGUCCAGGCAGAUAGCAGCAGUCAAGGCCCAGUGUGCCAGGGAAUCCCCUCGCAUUAUGCGUAGCCCCUGUUGCCAGCGGGCCGAUGGACUGGGUUUCCUGCGCCUGUGAUCCCUCUGGCAGUGUUUCAGGACUCUGUGAUGAAGCCUUGAAAUUUUGUAUUUCAAGAUGGUAUCCGAGUAGCCUUUGGUAAUUGCUGAGGAGUUGCAGUGAGACGCCAAGGUAGGGAGGGGGAGCCAAGGUCCACUUAGGUUUCAGCAUUGCUGUGUCACUUUGUCUCUUCUUCACCCAGGCAGACCCUGCGAUGACAGUGGCAGCCUCUGGGCGUGGCCAAAGUCUGUGGCCCGAGCAACCGGGCAUUCUUAGGAGAAUGCUGGGCAAGGGACCACAGCCUGGUGACCAUAGGACAUUCCCAGCAGAUGAGGCAGCCUCCAUUCGCACGCAACAUGGAUUCUCAUCCCCAUAUGUCUGAGAGAUAAGUCGAGGGCUAAGGCCCACAGAGGGGACGAAAGGAAUCUACUCGGAGUACUCAUACCUCCAUCACCAACUGGACAACGGACCGGUGCCAGGAGCGUGGCUUCUCGUUUUCCAGCCUUCCUUGCUGUGGCGGUUUUGAGGAACUUACUGGAUGGUUUUCUUUUGUUCAUAGUUGGUGUAGGAGAACGGCCAUGGUGUGCUUUUUGCUUCUUACGGUUCUUGGUUCAGGUGCUCAUGACAAGGGUUUUUUUUGGGUUGAGUCUUGUGGUUGGAUUUCUUUUUGAUGGGUUCUUAUGUUUUUGAAGGAUGUGUUUUUAAAGGUUUAUAAUGUUUUUUAUGGGUCAUAGCAUGAAGUAGAGGGUAGGUUUUUAAUUCGGUUGUGGAGGCUUUUAUUGGCGUGAGUAUGUAGUGGUUUAUUUUGGUUGGUUUGAGGUAGUGUCCUGUAGUUUAUUAUUGAGGUUUUUUUAAUAUUGAUAAUUGCAUUCUUGUUUAUUAUGUUGUAGGGGUUUUAUUUGUUUGUCUUGUUUGAUUGCUUUGUGUGUUUAAUGUCUCAGACAAUUUGGGAGUUAUUAUUUAUGGUUACUUUUCUCUUUUGGUGACAUGUUUAUUUCUAGGUGGUAUUUGUGUUUUGAUGGUUUAAGGCAUUCUGAGGUCCUUGAGUUAGGAAUUAUUAUUUUGUUGUUGUGAAUAUAUUUUUUUUGUAGUUGGAUAUAUUUGUUGUUUUUUAUUAGUUUGAUUUUUGGGAACAUGGGUAUUUCUAUGGUGGAUCUUUAUAGGUAGUUAUUUUAUUUGGGUGGUGAGUUUUUUGUUUCUUCAUGGUUUCGAUUUUUUUAUAUCUGUAAUUAUUUGGGGGGAGUUUAGUUAAUUUUAUAGAGUAUUGGGUUCUCUUGAUGAGUUAGUGUAGUGGUAGGGUAUUGUUUGGUUUUUUUUAAGAAACAUUUGGGAUCUGUUUUAUGGUUUGUAGUAUAAGAGGUUAGUUGAAGAGUUUUUUUCUUUUUAGUGUUUUUUUUGUUUUGUGUGGGUUUUUAUAGGUGUUUUUUUUUUUUAAUUAAUGUUCCAUUUUUGUUAUGUGAUAAGAGCUGUUAGUGAAAGGAGUGUAGUGGGGUUUUUUUUGCUGGUAGUUGGUUGGCUGGUGGAGCCUUUCUGAAUUUUUUGGAUGGUAUUCUUGGUUAUUCAAUGCUGUUUGUUUUGGCAUUUUAUUUUUAGGAAUUGGAUUAGAACUGCAAAGUUCUAACUGUAACUCUAAUGAAACAAAACAAAUGCAUAAAUAUGAAAAUGGGAAUAUAAAACUUCAAUUUUAAAUAUAAACGGAAAGCAUAUAAAUAAAACAUGUAACAUAAAUAAUGUUAUCCUUUACUAUUAGAUAGUAUAUUGUUUGAUAUAUAGUAUUUUGUUUAUAUAAAUACAUAUAAAUAUAGAUUAUAAAUAUGAAUAAAAUCCAUAUAAAACCUCCAUAUUGAGAUGUAUAAUUAAUACAUGUGGAUAUAUAAAUAUAAAAAUUACUAAAUAAUAGAAAUCAAUACAGUACAUAAUGCAUAUUUUACUGUGUAUGUCCUAUUUUAACACAUUCUAUGUCCUAAAUAUUAUAUAUCGAAAUACGGUACCUCAAUAUAUUGUAAUCGAAUAUAUAACAACUUGUAAAAAUCAAAAAUAGAAAGGUAGAAAUAUUUAAAUAUAGUUUAAAAUAAAGGGGAUUUUUAUUUUGUAUUUGGUAGUAGGUAGGGUUUUUUUAAUAAAAUCUAUAAAUAUAAAUAAAAUAAAAUUAGAAAUCUGUGUAUAGAAAUACAUCCUAAAUACCUUAAGAUCUAUAUAAAAAAUUCAAAGGUAAGUAAAAAUAAAUAUUAGCAGUAUCUAUGAAGUAUAAUAUAAAUAAUAAUUUGUCUAUCUUGCUACCUUAAUAUAUAUAUGAUACAUAUUUAUAAACACAUCACUAUAAAGUAGAAAUGCAAAUGUGACUAUAAUGAUGAAAAAAACAUGUAAAUAUUCAAGUAUCGUUUAAAGAAAGGGCUUUUUUUGGUUUUUAUUUGGUUAGAGGCAGGGUUUUAAUGGAAGAAAAAUGAAUAUACCUUUUGAUAUCAUUCUAAGUAUAGAAAUAUAUAUUCAAUGUAUACAGAGAUAUAUAAAAAUAUAAAAUAGAAAUGAAAAUAAGUAUUCGGAAUAGAUAGAAUAUAAAUAACACCAUACAUCAAUCUACAUUUUAAAUGUAAAUUUGAAUAUAAAUGCGAAAAAUAGAGAUAAAUUUAAAUGCAGUUUGAAAGAUAAGGGGUUUUUAAAAGAUUUUUACUUGGAUAGAGGCAGGGGUUUAUUUUAAGCAAUAUAAAACUUUUAGAAAUAGAAUAAUGUAAGAAUAGAAAUAUGUAAGUAAUGUAUUAAGCAAUGUAAAAAAAUGUAAAUUGUAAUAAAAUAUAAUAGGAAUAAAUGUAAGAAAUUAUUAAAAUUGCAAUUAUACAUCAAUAUGCAUUAUAAAUCUGAAUGUGAAUAUAAAUAUGUAAAAUAUAAAAAUAAAAUAUAUUGAGAUGCAGUUUGAAAGAAAAGGCUUUUUCUUUUGGUUCUUAUGGGGUUAGAGGCAGGGGUUUUUUGCUGGCGUUCUUUUCCACACGGGAUGUUUUGGGGCAUUUGCUGCCGAGGACGUUCCGGAGGGGCGGGCGGCAGUGCUGCCGCCUAGUGGACACAGAGCGGUACUGCAGCCCGCCGCUCGCGGCCGCUAUCUCGGGAGUGACCUGUCGCGGACUCGCGUGCCGUGCACACGGGCUGUGGGCUCAGCGGCUCCGUGGGCGGGUGGAUUUCGAGCAGGCGCUGACCGGCAUCGGCAGAUUUGCCUCUCUCUGCCCAGCUCCUGCAGCGGCCGCCAUCCUGGGCGCGGCCCUUGCCUCUACCACGCUGGGUGCCCGUCCCGUCCCCUCCCGUGCAUUCCCACCGCCUCCCUGCCGUACAGCUGGAAAUAAACAAAACCAACGUAGAAAUAUACAUAGGUUAAAAAGAAAGGGCUUUUGGGGCGGGGCGGCCUUAUUUGGUUCGAGGCAGGAUCUUUUAGUUUCUGUGCGGGAUUUUUUGGGACAUUUAUUUCGGAGGAUUUUUUCCCAAGGGGAUCGAUCGCUGCCGCUCUUUUCCCCCUGCCUCCCCUCCGGGCGAGCGGCGGCCCCCGGCUGUGGCGGGCGGCAGUUCUGCCGCCUUGUGGACACAGAGUGGUACUGCAGCCCCACAGCCAGCGCCCGGCCGAAAACCACCGAGACGGGGCGGGAGGGGCCAGAGCGGCCCCAAACCCACCGAGACGGGGCGGGAGGGGCCAGAGCGGCCCCAAACCCACCGAGACGGGGCAGGAGGGGCCAGAGCGGCCCCAAAACCCACCAAGACGAGGCGGGAGGGGCGCGGGGCGGCAGCGAGCGGUGAGCGGGGCGGUGUGUCUGUCUCGGCUGUCACACCUGUCCUGAGGAAAGCCCUGUGGAAGGAGCUCGGUGCCACGAUUCAGGACCCUGAGGCCACUGUGAAACUGCAAAUUCUUUCCAAGCUGUUGCCACCUCCGGGAAGCAAAGGGCUGCACAACCUGAUGGACUGCCUUCCUGCUGCUCCGGAGAGAGCAGGCAAUGAAGAGAGCUGGGCCGUGGCAGAUGCCAUAUCCACGGUGCUUAAAAACUCAGAGGAGCUGCAUUCCUGGAGGAGACAUCUCUUCUCAGCCUGCAUAAAGGGGUUAGUUGCCAUGUACAGCAGCAGUAAAGAUGAAGGCAAGCAAGAAGUGGAGAGGUCCAUGCUGCUGAGGCUAGAGGAAUUAUUGUGUGUGGUUGAAGAAGUGGACCCAGAUGACUGGUGUGACCUUGUGAAGACAGGGCUCAAGUACCGUUACAGAGAUGAAACAUUUCUGAAGGUCCUGAACGUUGCCAUCCAGUUACUAUACAUGAAAGAAUCCUCACUUAGAGCGUAGUCAAGCUCUCCAAACUACACAUGGUGGUCACACAGCACUCUCUAUUUUUGGCAGCCAUCCUGAGGUCAAGAGAAGAAGAUGGCAUGAGCGUCCAGACAAGAGGACAGGAGAAAUCAUUGAGCUCCUCCCAUCUUUGCCAGAAGCUUCAGUGUUUAAGCAGCCAGAGCCAAGAGGCUUCAGCACCAGGGGUGUGCGCUGGAGGGCUCCUGGUCCUGCCCAUGCUGUGGGGGAGCCAGGACUGGCACAAGGACUCGUACAGGUGCUGCUCUGGCACUGGAGCUGUUGCCCUGUGGAGCCAUUUUAAAGGUGUGAUUAUGGAACAUUUUGGAGGCCGUUUCUGGAAUUCCAUUUGUAGCUGGAUCUCACUCCGAGUGCAGCAGUCCAUAUGCUGCACUCACCUCUGCAGACAAGCGCUGAGCUCUCACUGCAGGAACCCGUCAGGCCUCGGUGGCUGAAAGGGAUGCACAUCCCUGCCUGCAGCACACCUCCAGUGGGACCCACCUGUGAGAGUUUUCCAUCACUUCUGCACCUCCAGCUGGCUCCCUGGAAAUCUCCAAACAUCAUCGCACUCGAACCUCUGAUUUUAA
This is a non-coding RNA of Taeniopygia guttata (zebra finch), 5918 nucleotides long. The record is from RefSeq and is a predicted model, not a curated record. Lineage: Eukaryota; Metazoa; Chordata; Aves; Passeriformes; Estrildidae.